Molecule: ribosomal RNA, 258 nt
Filed under: uncultured Glomus
Lineage: Eukaryota; Fungi; Glomeromycota; Glomeromycetes; Glomerales; Glomeraceae
Description: partial 18S ribosomal RNA
Rfam family: Eukaryotic small subunit ribosomal RNA
Source: RNAcentral
AAGCUCGUAGUUGAAUUUCGGGGUUAGUAGGUAGGUCAUGCCUCUGGUAUGUACUGGUCUCACUGAUUCCUCCUUCCUUAUGAACCGUAAUGCCAUUAAUUUGGUGUUGCGGGGAAUUUGGACUGUUACUUUGAAAAAAUUAGAGUGUUUAAAGCAAGCUAACGCUUGAAUACAUUAGCAUGGAAUAAUGAAGUAGGACGUUCGAUCUUAUUUUGUUGGUUUCUAGGAUUGACGUAAUGAUUAAUAGGGAUAGUUGGG